CACUUUUUAUCAUUCUUUUCACCCUUUCGUUUAAAGGCCUUCCCUCCACCUUCCCUGGCACACUGAGUCACCUUAUUCCCCGUGACUGCCACAAUCAUCCCUUCUUCCUUCCCGUUUGUUCAGUGGCACAGUGACGGCCCUCCUCCAGUGUUCCGGCACCUCACCCUGCUCACAAGCUUGGCUAUGUGAGGCGUUUGGUGUAAAAGUUGUGACCAAACCAAUCAAAGCGGCAGUACUGUUUUUGGCGGCAUCUGGCACCUGAACUCUUGCUGCAUUGUGCGGUGAAGCAAGUUUCAGAAAAAGCAGCCUUAAACCAGGUGAUUCAUAGGCCUACAGUUGUGUGACUUCUCCGCUGAAGUCCCCAAUUUAUCUCGACUUCUUUCUGAAAGCUUUUUGUUCUCUAAACAGUUUGUUGAUGUCACUCUACCAAAAUAUUCAUAUACUCUGUCUACUUUCCCUACUGUUCCUUAACUGUCUAUUUUGUAUCGUCUGUCCAGCAUGCAUUCCCUCCCUUCCUCUUCCACACACCUUGUGUCCCACUACGUCCCAGGCUGCCCUUGACACUGAACUCUUCUCAACCCGUCUGCUGUAAUUGCCUUCACUGUUAUCCUGGUAACAUACAGUACCAGGUCUUUCUCUGCCUCUGUGGUGGAUAGUGGAGUGUUUCCCAUGUGGUAUUGGUGUACUGGAUAUCCCUUCACUGUUAUCCUGGUAACAUACAGUACCAGGUCUUUCUCUGCCUCUGUGGUGGAUAGUGGAGUGUUUCCCAUGUGGUAUUGGUGUGCUGGAUAUCCCUUCACUGUUAUCCUGGUAACAUACAGUCCCAGGUCUUUCUCUGCCUCUGUGGUGGAUAGUGGAGUGUUUCCCAUGUGGUAUUGGUGUGCUGGAUAUCCCUUCACUGUUAUCCUGGUAACAUACAGUCCCAGGUCUUUCUCUGCCUCUGUGGUGGAUAGUGGAGCAUUUCCCAUGUGGUAUUGGUGUACUGGAUAUCCCUUCACUGUUAUCCUGGUAACAUACAGUCCCAGGUCUUUCUCUGCCUCUGUGGUGGAUAGUGGAGCAUUUCCCAUGUGGUAUUGGUGUACUGGAUAUCCCUUCACUGUUAUCCUGGUAACAUACAGUCCCAGGUCUUUCUCUGCCUCUGUGGUGGAUAGUGGAGUGUUUCCCAUGUGGUAUUGGUGUGCUGGAUAUCCCUUCACUGUUAUCCUGGUAACAUACAGUCCCAGGUCUUUCUCUGCCUCUGUGGUGGAUAGUGGAGCAUUUCCCAUGUGGUAUUGGUGUACUGGAUAUCCCUUCACUGUUAUCCUGGUAACAUACAGUCCCAGGUCUUUCUCUGCCUCUGUGGUGGAUAGUGGAGCAUUUCCCAUGUGGUAUUGGUGUACUGGAUAUCCCUUCACUGUUAUCCUGGUAACAUACAGUCCCAGGUCUUUCUCUGCCUCUGUGGUGGAUAGUGGAGCAUUUCCCAUGUGGUAUUGGUGUACUGGAUAUCCCUUCACUG
Molecule: long non-coding RNA, 1495 nt
Organism: Eriocheir sinensis (Chinese mitten crab)
Lineage: Eukaryota; Metazoa; Arthropoda; Malacostraca; Decapoda; Varunidae
Exons: 3
Source: RefSeq, a predicted model, not a curated record